RNAcentral lists this long non-coding RNA (268 nucleotides) under Phaseolus vulgaris (common bean). RNAcentral describes it as "long non-coding RNA (PVUL_LNC003534)". Lineage: Eukaryota; Viridiplantae; Streptophyta; Magnoliopsida; Fabales; Fabaceae. The record is from RNAcentral.
GCUUUCCUGAAGAUAAUGUCCACUUCAGGGUAAUGACUCUCAUUCACUGCAUCUACCGCCAUCACCGAUCGAGCGUAUCUCCUUCUUUGUGAAGCUGUGCAUCCCCCACCAGAGAAGCCUCCCGCGAUCGUCUGCACUUCCCCAUGCACAGGGACUUCAUGCUGCUGUUCUCCAGUCUGGGAUCCUGACGCGCGAUCACCCUGCGGCUCACGCAGGUAAUCUGCUAGAAAACCAGACUUCACCAACUCUGCCAGUUGGUGUCCCAGCG